Molecule: long non-coding RNA, 553 nt
Organism: Micropterus salmoides (largemouth bass)
Lineage: Eukaryota; Metazoa; Chordata; Actinopteri; Centrarchiformes; Centrarchidae
Exons: 2
Source: RefSeq, a predicted model, not a curated record
UCCGCCCAGCGCCGCAGGGGGAGGAACUCCGGGGGAAAACAUGAGGACAAAGGCGGAGGAUGAAACCAGAGACCGCGGCUACAGCACCAGCCAAACCCGCUUAGAUGCUGAACCUGCGGGAGACUGAGGACUGGGGGCCGGGGACCCGACGGCCAGGCGCCGACAGAGAUGGGGAAGGUGAGCGGCUGCCCGGCUGCUCCAGGCCCAGAGAGGAAGAACCAAAGUGUGCAGAAAGAGAUCAGGUCUGCCGGCUGCUCAGACCUCCUCCCCGGCCUGUCGCGGUGCGGCGGCUCGGCAUCCUGCAGGACGGCAGCCCGCAUCCACAUGGCACCCUGCCCGCUGAGGACACGCCGUCUCCCGGGUCUGAUCUCCCGACCACCGGUCCCCUCUCACAGAGACCCGCUCACUGUUCACUGUUCAAUACAAUGUUGGAUACACCUGGUCUCCUCCGGGGCCCCUGCACAGGUGUGUGUGUGUGCGGGGGGGGAGGGGGGGUGUACCUGUUAAAUAAAGAGCAGUUUUAUAAAUAAAAUAAUAUUUCUGCAGAACUACA